AAAGUCCCCUUCGGGGGAUAAGUAGAGUGGCGUCCGGGUGAGUAACACGUAGGUAAUCUACCUUCGGGUGGGGAAUAACCCAGGGAAACUUGGGCUAAUACCGCAUAAUGCAGCGGCACCACAUGGUGACAGUUGUUAAAGCGGGGGAUCUUCGGAUCUCGCGCCUGAAGAGGAGCCUGCGGCAGAUUAGCUAGUUGGUAAGGUAACGGCUUACCAAGGCGACGAUCUGUAGCCGGCCUGAGAGGGCGGUCGGCCACACUGACACUGACAUACGGGUCAGACUCCUACGGGAGGCAGCAGUCGGGAAUUUUGGGCAAUGGGCGAAAGCCUGACCCAGCAACGCCGCGUGAAGGAUGAAAUCCCUCGGGAUGUAAACUUCGCAAGAAUGGGAAGAAUUAGUAGGGGUUAAUACCCCCUAUGAUGACGGUACCAUUUGUAAGCUCCGGCUAACUCCGUGCCAGCAGCCGCGGUAAUACGGGGGGAGCAAGCGUUGUUCGGAUUUACUGGGCGUAAAGGGCGCGUAGGCGGUCAGCACAAGUCAGUUGUGAAAUCUCCGGGCUUAACUCGGAAAGGUCAACUGAUACUGUGCGACUAGAGAGCAGAAGGGGCAACUGGAAUUCUCGGUGUAGCGGUGAAAUGCGUAGAUAUCGAGAGGAACACCUGCGGCGAAGGCGGGUUGCUGGGCUGACACUGACGCUGAUGCCCGAAAGCCAGGGGAGCGAACGGGAUUAGGUACCCCGGUAGUCCUGGCCUUAAACGAUGGAUGCUUGGUGUCUGGAGUUUUAUAGUCUCCGGGUGCCGUAGCUAACGCGUUAAGCAUCCCGCCUGGGGAGUAC
This 836-nucleotide ribosomal RNA is filed under the name uncultured Bacillota bacterium. RNAcentral describes it as "bacterial SSU rRNA". It matches the Rfam family "Bacterial small subunit ribosomal RNA", at positions 70 to 883 of the family's 1533-position model. The record is from RNAcentral. Lineage: Bacteria; Bacillati; Bacillota.